This 468-nucleotide ribosomal RNA is filed under the name uncultured bacterium. Its description in RNAcentral is "partial 16S ribosomal RNA". It matches the Rfam family "Bacterial small subunit ribosomal RNA", at positions 28 to 507 of the family's 1533-position model. The record is from RNAcentral.
GACGAACGCUGGCGGCGUGCUUAACACAUGCAAGUCGAACGGAAAGGCCCUGCUUUUGUGGGGUGCUCGAGUGGCGAACGGGUGAGUAACACGUGAGUAACCUGCCCUUGACUUUGGGAUAACUUCAGGAAACUGGGGCUAAUACCGGAUAGGAGCUCCUGCUGCAUGGUGUGGGUUGGCAAGUUUCGGCGGUUGGGGAUGGACUCGCGGCUUAUCAGCUUGUUGGUGGGGUGUAGGCUUACCAAGGCUUUGAGGGGUAGCCGGCCUGAGAGGGUGAGCGGCCACACUGGGACUGGGAUACGGCCCAGACUCCUACGGGAGGGAGCAGUGGGGAAUAUUGUACAAUGGACGGAAGCAUGAUGCAGCAACGCCGCGUGCGGGAUGACGGCCUUCGGGUUGUAAACCGAUUUCGCCUGUGACGAAGCGUGAGUGACGGUAAUGGGUAAAGAAGCACCGGCUAACUACGUG